This 888-nucleotide ribosomal RNA is filed under the name Neopestalotiopsis cubana. Its description in RNAcentral is "partial 28S ribosomal RNA". It matches the Rfam family "Eukaryotic large subunit ribosomal RNA", at positions 49 to 961 of the family's 3401-position model. The record is from RNAcentral. Lineage: Eukaryota; Fungi; Ascomycota; Sordariomycetes; Amphisphaeriales; Sporocadaceae.
AGAAUUGGUAGAGACAACAGGGAUUGCCUUAGUAACGGCGAGUGAAGCGGCAACAGCUCAAAUUUGAAAUCUGGCCCUUGGGUCCGAAUUGUAAUUUGUAGAGGAUGAUUUUGGUGCGGUAUCUUCCGAGUUCCUUGGAACAGGACGCCUUAGAGGGUGAGAGCCCCGUACGGUUGAAUGCCUAGCCUCUGUAAAUCUCCUUCGACGAGUCGAGUAGUUUGGGAAUGCUGCUCUAAAUGGGAGGUAAAUUUCUUCUAAAGCUAAAUAUUGGCCAGAGACCGAUAGCGCACAAGUAGAGUGAUCGAAAGAUGAAAAGCACUUUGAAAAGAGGGUUAAAUAGCACGUGAAAUUGUUGAAAGGGAAGGAUUUGUGACCAGACUUUUUCUGGGCGGAUCAUCCGGGGUUCUCUCCGGUGCACUUCGCCCAGUAAAGGCCAGCAUCGGUUUUCGGCGUGGGAUAAAAGCAGUAGGAAUGUGGCUCUCUACGGGGAGUGUUAUAGCCUAUUGUAUAAUACCGCGCUGGGGACCGAGGUUCGCGCUUCUGCAAGGAUGCUGGCGUAAUGGUUAUCAAUCACCCGUCUUGAAACACGGACCAAGGAGUCGAACAUUUGUGCGAGUGUUUGGGUGUUAAACCCUCACGCGUAAUGAAAGUGAACGGAGGUGAGAGCCCUUACGGGUGCAUCAUCGACCGAUCCUGAAGUUUUCGGAUGGAUUUGAGUAAGAGCAUAACUGUUCGGACCCGAAAGAUGGUGAACUAUGCGUGGAUAGGGUGAAGCCAGAGGAAAACUCUGGUGGAGGCUCGCAGCGGUUCUGACGUGCAAAUCGAUCGUCAAAUCUGCGCAUGGGGGGCGAAAAGACUAAUCGAAACCAUCUAGUAGCUGGUUACCGC